GUUUGCACUUGUCGGGGAAGGGUGAGUGCCUUCGAUUAAGGUUCGACUCGAGCGAAAGCGAGAGAACGUUGCCAACGGCAACGACCCGAAGGGUGAGAAGCGAAGCGACGAAUAAUCCUUCCCCCACCACCA
This 132-nucleotide small RNA is filed under the name Citrobacter freundii. RNAcentral describes it as "RtT sRNA". It matches the Rfam family "RtT RNA". From Rfam's summary of the family: This family represents a bacterial cis-regulatory element known as RtT RNA. The record is from RNAcentral. RNAcentral also lists the same sequence under 1 other name. Lineage: Bacteria; Pseudomonadati; Pseudomonadota; Gammaproteobacteria; Enterobacterales; Enterobacteriaceae.